GAUGAACGCUGGCGGCGUGCCUAAUACAUGCAAGUCGAACGCUUCACUUCGGUGAAGAGUGGCGAACGGGUGAGUAAUACAUAAGUAACCUGGCAUCUACAGGGGGAUAACUGAUGGAAACGUCAGCUAAGACCGCAUAGGUGUAGAGAUCGCAUGAACUCUAUAUGAAAAGUGCUACGGGACUGGUAGAUGAUGGACUUAUGGUGCAUUAGCUUGUUGGUAGGGUAACGGCCUACCAAGGCGACGAUGCGUAGCCGACCUGAGAGGGUGACCGGCCACACUGGGACUGAGACACGGCCCAGACUCCUACGGGAGGCAGCAGUAGGGAAUUUUCGGCAAUGGGGGAAACCCUGACCGAGCAACGCCGCGUGAAGGAAGAAGUAAUUCGUUAUGUAAACUUCUGUCAUAGAGGAAGAACGGUGGAUAUAGGGAAUGAUAUCCAAGUGACGGUACUUUAUAAGAAAGCCACGGCUAACUACGUG
Molecule: ribosomal RNA, 482 nt
Filed under: uncultured bacterium
Lineage: Bacteria
Description: partial 16S ribosomal RNA
Rfam family: Bacterial small subunit ribosomal RNA
Source: RNAcentral